This 460-nucleotide ribosomal RNA is filed under the name uncultured bacterium. RNAcentral describes it as "partial 16S ribosomal RNA". It matches the Rfam family "Bacterial small subunit ribosomal RNA", at positions 338 to 795 of the family's 1533-position model. The record is from RNAcentral.
CCUACGGGAGGCAGCAGUGAGGAAUAUUGGUCAAUGGACGAGAGUCUGAACCAGCCAAGUAGCGUGAAGGAUGACUGCCCUAUGGGUUGUAAACUUCUUUUAUAUGGGAAUAAAAUGUUCCACGUGUGGGAUUUUGUAUGUACCUUAUGAAUAAGGAUCGGCUAACUCCGUGCCAGCAGCCGCGGUAAUACGGAGGAUCCGAGCGUUAUCCGGAUUUAUUGGGUUUAAAGGGAGCGUAGGUGGAUUGUUAAGUCAGUUGUGAAAGUUUGCGGCUCAACCGUAAAAUUGCAGUUGAAACUGGCAGUCUUGAGUACAGUAGAGGUGGGCGGAAUGCGUGGUGUAGCGGUGAAAUGCUUAGAUAUCACGAAGAACUCCGAUUGCGAAGGCAGUUCACUGGACUGCAACUGACACUGAGGCUCGAAAGUGUGGGUAUCAAACAGGAUUAGAUACCCCGGUAGUC